This 385-nucleotide ribosomal RNA is filed under the name uncultured Gammaproteobacteria bacterium. RNAcentral describes it as "bacterial SSU rRNA". It matches the Rfam family "Bacterial small subunit ribosomal RNA", at positions 8 to 391 of the family's 1533-position model. Lineage: Bacteria; Pseudomonadati; Pseudomonadota; Gammaproteobacteria. The record is from RNAcentral.
AGAGUUUGAUCCUGGCUCAGAUUGAACGCUGGCGGCAGGCUUAACACAUGCAAGUCGAGCGGUAACAUUUCUAGCUUGCUAGAAGAUGACGAGCGGCGGACGGGUGAGUAAUGCUUGGGAAUAUGCCUUAUGGUGGGGGACAACAGUUGGAAACGACUGCUAAUACCGCAUAACGUCUACGGACCAAAGGGGGGGAUCUUCGGACCUCUCGCCAUUUGAUUAGCCCAAGUGAGAUUAGCUAGUUGGUGAGGUAAUGGCUCACCAAGGCGACGAUCUCUAGCUGGUUUGAGAGGAUGAUCAGCCACACUGGGACUGAGACACGGCCCAGACUCCUACGGGAGGCAGCAGUGGGGAAUAUUGCACAAUGGGCGAAAGCCUGAUGCAG